CCUACGGGAGGCAGCAGUGAGGAAUAUUGGUCAAUGGUCGGGAGACUGAACCAGCCAAGCCGCGUGAGGGAGGAAGGUACAGAGUAUCGUAAACUUCUUUUGUCAGGGAACAAAGACUGGGACGCGUCCCCGGAUGAGUGUAUCUGAAGAAAAAGCAUCGGCUAAAACUGCGCAAGAAGCCGCGGUAAUAUGGAGGAUGCGAGCGUUAUCCGGAUUUUUUGGGUUAAAGGGGUGCGCGGGCGGUCUGUUAAGUAAGCGGUCAAAGCCCGGGGUGCACCUCCGGACCGCCGUUGAAACUGGCAGUCUCGAGUUGGAGAGAGGUAUGCGGAAUGCGCGGUGUAGCGGUGAAAUGCAUAGAUAUCGCGCAGAACUCCGAUUGCGAAGGCAGCAUGCCGGCUCCACACUGACGCUGAGGCACGAAAGCGUGGGUAUCGAACAGGAUUAGAUACCCUGGUAGUC
Molecule: ribosomal RNA, 459 nt
Filed under: uncultured bacterium
Lineage: Bacteria
Description: partial 16S ribosomal RNA
Rfam family: Bacterial small subunit ribosomal RNA
Source: RNAcentral